This 460-nucleotide ribosomal RNA is filed under the name uncultured bacterium. RNAcentral describes it as "partial 16S ribosomal RNA". It matches the Rfam family "Bacterial small subunit ribosomal RNA", at positions 338 to 795 of the family's 1533-position model. The record is from RNAcentral.
CCUACGGGUGGCAGCAGUGAGGAAUAUUGGUCAAUGGACGGAAGUCUGAACCAGCCAUGCCGCGUGCAGGAAGAAGGCCCUCUGAGUUGUAAACUGCGUUUUUACAAGGGUAAACCUGAACACGUGUAUUCAACUGAGAGUCAUGUACGAACAAGGCACGGCUAACUCCGUGCCAGCAGCCGCGGUAAUAAGGAGGAUUCAAGCGUUAUCCGGAUUGAUUGGGUUGAAAGGGUGCGUAGGCGGUUUGAUAAGUUAGAGGUGAAAUGUCCGGGCUUAACUUGGGAACUGCCGCUAAUACUGUUGAUCUAGAGAGUAGGUGCGGUAGGUGGAAUGUAUGGUGUAGCGGUGGAAUGCUUAGAGAUCAUACAGAACACCGAGUGCGAAGGCAGCUUACCAAUCUAUAUCUGACGUUGAGGCACGAAAGCGUGGGGAGCAAACAGGAUUAGAUACCCGAGUAGUC